UUUAUGGACCAGCAAUAGGUUGUAAUUUAGGUUGGAUUGGUUGGUCCGACAUCUCUGCUUGAUCAGGAUUCGUUACUUUGCUCCCUCUGCCUCUACAUCAACUCCUACCACCAUGCCCACGUGUUCUGGUAGAUUUUCGUGGCAUGACUGUAUUGUUUCCGAGAAAUCUACGAUUUAAUCAGAAAUAGAAGGAAUUAAACUGUAUUGAUAUGGAACACGAUGUUGACGUUAUUGCUGAGAACGUAGUAAGAUCGCGCUAUGAACGUAGUAUAAUCGUGGUAAGAACGUGUUAUAAUCGCAGUAAGAUCGUGUUGCAAUCGGAAAACUCGUGGUAUGGUCGUAGUGAGAACGUGAAGAGCGUAGAAAGAUCUUGAUAAUCGUAGUGAGGUCGCAGAAUAAGCGCGGUGAGAACGUGGUAUAAUCGUAGCGGGAUCUUUGUAGAAACGUAGAG
RNAcentral lists this long non-coding RNA (451 nucleotides) under Mytilus galloprovincialis (Mediterranean mussel). The record is from RNAcentral. Lineage: Eukaryota; Metazoa; Mollusca; Bivalvia; Mytilida; Mytilidae.